GACGAACGCUGGCGGCGUGCCUAAUACAUGCAAGUAGAACGCUGAAGGAGGAGCUUGCUUCUCUGGAUGAGUUGCGAACGGGUGAGUAACGCGUAGGUAACCUGCCUGGUAGUGGGGGAUAACUAUUGGAAACGAUAGCUAAUACCGCAUAAUAGCAGUUGUUGCAUGAUAACUGUUUGAAAGGUGCAAUUGCACCGCUACCAGAUGGACCUGCGUUGUAUUAGCUAGUUGGUGGGGUAACGGCUCACCAAGGCGACGAUACAUAGCCGACCUGAGAGGGGGAUCGGCCACACUGGGACUGAGACACGGCCCAGACUCCUACGGGAGGCAGCAGUAGGGAAUCUUCGGCAAUAGACGGAAGUCUGACCGAGCAACGCCGCGUGAGUGAAGAAGGUUUUCGGAUCGUAAAGCUCUGUUGUAAGAGAAGAACGAGUGUGAGAGUGGAAAGUUCACACUGUGACGGUAUCUUACCAGAAAGGGACGGCUAACUACGUG
RNAcentral lists this ribosomal RNA (495 nucleotides) under uncultured bacterium. RNAcentral describes it as "partial 16S ribosomal RNA". It matches the Rfam family "Bacterial small subunit ribosomal RNA", at positions 28 to 507 of the family's 1533-position model. The record is from RNAcentral.